AGAUUGAACGCUGGCGGCAUGCCUUACACAUGCAAGUCGAACGGCAGCACGGGAGCAAUCCUGGUGGCGAGUGGCGAACGGGUGAGUAAUACAUCGGAACGUGCCCAAUCGUGGGGGAUAGCGCAGCGAAAGCUGUGCUAAUACCGCAUAAGAUCUACGGAUGAAAGCAGGGGAUCGCAAGACCUUGCGCGAAUGGAGCGGCCGAUGGCAGAUUAGGUAGUUGGUGAGGUAAAGGCUCACCAAGCCUUCGAUCUGUAGCUGGUCUGAGAGGACGACCAGCCACACUGGGACUGAGACACGGCCCAGACUCCGUACGGGGAGCAGCA
RNAcentral lists this ribosomal RNA (326 nucleotides) under uncultured soil bacterium. Its description in RNAcentral is "bacterial SSU rRNA". It matches the Rfam family "Bacterial small subunit ribosomal RNA", at positions 26 to 353 of the family's 1533-position model. The record is from RNAcentral.